This 467-nucleotide ribosomal RNA is filed under the name uncultured bacterium. RNAcentral's name for it is "partial 16S ribosomal RNA". It matches the Rfam family "Bacterial small subunit ribosomal RNA", at positions 28 to 507 of the family's 1533-position model. The record is from RNAcentral.
GACGAACGCUGGCGGCGUGCUUAACACAUGCAAGUCGAACGGAAAGGCCUCUUUCGGGGGGUACUCGAGUGGCGAACGGGUGAGUAACACGUGAGUAACCUGCCCUUGACUUUGGGAUAACUUCAGGAAACUGGGGCUAAUACCGGAUAGGAGCUCCUGCUGCAUGGUGGGGGUUGGAAAGUUUCGGCGGUUGGGGAUGGACUCGCGGCUGAUCAGCUUGUUGGUGGGGUAGUGGCUUACCAAGGCUUUGACGGGUAGCCGGCCUGAGAGGGUGACCGGCCACAUUGGGACUGAGAUACGGCCCAGACUCCUACGGGAGGCAGCAGUGGGGAAUAUUGCACAAUGGGUGGAAGCCUGAUGCAGCAACGCCGUGUGCGGGAUGACGGCCUUCGGGUUGUAAACCGCUUUCGCUCAUGACGAAGCUUUGUGUGACGGUAGUGGGUAAAGAAGCACCGGCUAACUACGUG